AUAAUUUUGGAACGAUAAAGUCAUAGUUUUUAUUUUUUAGACAGGACCUACAUAUAGGGAAGGAGGAUGAUGUACCCCGCCAUGAAAGGAGUGCAUGCUGCAGAGACAGAAAUUGGAUCAGUGCUCAGGACUUUGCAUCAGCCUUAUCACGAAGCAAGACAUCAGGUCUGCAGUACUUGCCAAUGGAAUGUGUCGGGUGCUAGUAGAUCAUGGCAGGGAAUUUUAUUUGACACUGUUCAUGCAGGAGCUGCUGUUGUCAAAUCGCCAAAAUCAGGAGAGAAAGCCUUACUUACAGACUUCAUCAACAAGGAAUCAUAUAGUUGAACGACUCUUGCCUGAGGUAAAUAAUCGUGUCAACUAUCCCCUCAAUACAGCCCUUCUGCAAUUGGUGGAUCAAGAGGAACUAGACAUGGAUGACAACCUUGUUAGACAUAGUGUGUCCAACCUGACAAUCCAGUUGUGCCAGAUUGGUGUUACAAAGGUGGUGCAGCGCUCACCGAAUACCAGGUGAAAUAAACCAGUGAAAACUAAAACAGGCAUUCAUAAGUUUCAAGAUCAACCAUAUGUUCUUUAUUUUACAGGUAAAGAGAUACCAAAUGACUUGGCUGGCAGUGGUUGUCCAAAACAAAUCCCUGAGGAGCUGUUGCCUCAUUCAGUUGAAGCAGCAGUCCUUUAUAGCCAACAGCUGGGAUCGCAAAUGACUGCACAUUCUACUUUUGGAGCUGAUCCAUUUUCAACUGAACAGGACAAAAUUACAGUGGAGUAUCAGCUUUCAGAGAAAUAUUCAGACAUAUCAGACUUGUGCAAAAUGUUACUCCUCUUCAAAAAGGGAUUUCAGAACAGACAAUACCUCUGAAUGACCAUUAACCUCAAAUAUGUUGCUGUCUCUGGAGUUCCCCCUACAUUUUGCACAUUUUGUCUCCUGCCACUGUUCCACACAUCUUUUGCAGCCAAUGAUGCUUUUACAACAUUGUGUGAAGACUGGCUCUUAGAUGAACUCUAAAAAAACAAAGCAUCUUCAUCUUUUCGGCCGCUGAACGGAAAACAGAGAUAGUUGCUGCUACUGUUACAUUGGUAUUGGUAAUGGAUAUCUAACCUUUUGUUUGAAAGAUUAGAAAAGGGGGCAAAUAAAUAACAAUAGCAGAAAUAAAUAAAAGUACUUUUAUUCAUGAAUGUAACUUGGCCAGGUCAGGGCUGCUUUUCAUUAAUUUCAUUCAAAACAAGCUCAAUUUCACUCCUUGAUUUUGUGGAUUUGUUUUUUAAUUAUUCUUUAUAAUUAUACUUAUAAUUUUGUUGUUAUAUGUACAUAUAUAUAUCUGUAUAGAGAUAUAUACAUAUUUAUGUACAUAUAUAUAUAUACAGCAUUUUUUCGUUCCUGUCUUCUAGUAAUUUUAAUUUUUGUUAUUAUAACUAGAAAAACAAAUCAUUUUUUAAAUUUAGUCCAUCCCUUUCUGACAUUGACAAAGAAAAAAGCCUUGUAAUUCAAUUGAAAUUUUUGUAUUUUAAAACAAAAUUUAAAUAACCACUCAUUUUUUGUUUUUAAAUAUCCGUUUGUAUUGAAAAUCGAAUGACCAAAAGAGACACGGACCCAACUAACAUCUGUUUUUUCAUUUUGAUUUUGUAAAUGAAUAUUGAGAAAACAAGUCCUUUUUUUUGUUGUGAAAAAAAAAAAAUUUUCUCUGCCUUCACUAUCUCCUGGUCUCUGAUUCACCAGGGCGGGCGGCACACCCAGAUUAAUUGCCAUGCAUCUGGAGGACAUCAGCUGACAUCUGUGGGCUGUAGGUUAGGUUACACUUGUGGGGACCCCCCUGACACACACAAACGCUCCAGAGUUCACUUGCAAGUGGUCCAAGACCACCUCAUUCAGGCGGACCAGAGUUUGAUUGUUGCACAUCAAAGGUCUCAGACCACAUUCACACUAAUCCAAAUUAAUAUAACAAAGGGGUAAAUGCACAAGGGUUUUAUUUAACUGCAACUAAAUCAGGCUGGUGUGAAUGCACCCUUAGUUUUGACUAAACUAUGGCAAUCCCUGAACAGGAAAGUAAGUAAUGACGGUUGGCUUUAUCAGUGAGUAUUUCUUCACUGAAAGAAAAGGAGUAAAGGAGGUUCAGUAUUUCCCAACUGGCUGAGGCAAUUGUGAUGGACAGAUGGUUCUUCCAAUCAGAUGCCAAAUAUUUCCACAUAGCCUUCCCAGAUUGGUACGAGAAUGGACCAUCUGCUCCGUCAGGUUACAAAACUUCCACAUUAAACAUUUUGAAAAACAUUAAUAAAAUUCAACAGUUCACGAUGAAUGCAACAUGAAUGAACAGUUGGCACACCACUGUUGCAAAGCAAACAGCAGAACAAUGAGUUGUGACUGAUUUAGUGGUGAGGAAUUCUAAGCACAAAUGCUUCCUCAGCGAUUUUAUUAUCUCCACAGAGUUGCCAACAAACUGCUCUGAAUUUAUGGCUGUAUUGAAACACUCGAUGCAGCAUGGAUACUUGAAAUUCUCCAGGGAACUUAGGGAGGUUUAGACUUGUCCAAAUUAAUCAACAACUCAGUUGCUUUACAUAAACAAUUAAUUACAGGGCACCAAGAUUGUGAAAGAACAUGGAGAAAAAAAUCCUUAAUAAAAAACCUUUAAUAAGCAGACUCCACAAUGCUGAGACAUAACGAACAGGCCAAGAUUAUACUCUGGUAAAGGUCAGCAAUCAAUCUCGAUGCAACACAUAAUUAAAAUUCGAAAUAACUUGACAAAUGGAGAUGGUUUC
Molecule: long non-coding RNA, 2751 nt
Organism: Solea solea (common sole)
Lineage: Eukaryota; Metazoa; Chordata; Actinopteri; Pleuronectiformes; Soleidae
Exons: 3
Source: RefSeq, a predicted model, not a curated record